CAGUCGCCGCGGGAAUACGGAGGGGGCUAGCGUUGUUCGGAAUUACUGGGCGUAAAGCGCACGUAGGCGGCUUGGUAAGUUAGAGGUGAAAGCCCGGAGCUCAACUCCGGAAUUGCCUUUAAGACUGCCGAGCUAGUAGGUGAGAGAGGUAAGUGAAAUUCCGAGUGUAGAGGUGAAAUUCGUAGAUAUUCGGAAGAACACCAGUGACGAAGGCGGCUUACUGGCUCAUUCUAGACGCUGAGGUGCGAAAGCGUGGGGAGCAAACAGGAUUAGAUACCCCGGUAGUCCCUGUCUCUUAUAC
Molecule: ribosomal RNA, 301 nt
Filed under: uncultured bacterium
Lineage: Bacteria
Description: partial 16S ribosomal RNA
Rfam family: Bacterial small subunit ribosomal RNA
Source: RNAcentral